GGCGCGAUAGCAAAGUGGUUAUGCCCCGGAUUGCAAAUCCGGUUACGCCGGUUCGAUUCCGGCUCGCGCCUCCA
RNAcentral lists this transfer RNA (74 nucleotides) under Gilvimarinus xylanilyticus. RNAcentral's name for it is "tRNA-Cys". It matches the Rfam family "tRNA". From Rfam's summary of the family: Transfer RNA (tRNA) molecules are approximately 80 nucleotides in length. Their secondary structure includes four short double-helical elements and three loops (D, anti-codon, and T loops). Further hydrogen bonds mediate the characteristic L-shaped molecular structure. tRNAs have two regions of fundamental functional importance: the anti-codon, which is responsible for specific mRNA codon recognition, and the 3' end, to which the tRNAs corresponding amino acid is attached (by aminoacyl-tRNA synthetases). tRNAs cope with the degeneracy of the genetic code in two manners: having more than one tRNA (with a specific anti-codon) for a particular amino acid; and 'wobble' base-pairing, i.e. permitting non-standard base-pairing at the 3rd anti-codon position. RNAcentral also lists the same sequence under 1 other name. Lineage: Bacteria; Pseudomonadati; Pseudomonadota; Gammaproteobacteria; Cellvibrionales; Cellvibrionaceae. The record is from RNAcentral.